This 1056-nucleotide long non-coding RNA is filed under the name Rhinopithecus bieti (black snub-nosed monkey). RNAcentral's name for it is "lncRNA (ENSRBIG00000046791.1)". Lineage: Eukaryota; Metazoa; Chordata; Mammalia; Primates; Cercopithecidae. The record is from RNAcentral.
ACUCACUCAACAGCGUCACCGGCCAGCACCACCAUGCCAGGCCUCAGUGAGGAAUCUACCACCAUCUACAGUGGACCAAGCUCAACUGAAACCACAGUGUUUUCUCAUAGCACCACAACCUCCAUUCAUGUUGAACAACCUACAGCCUUCCCUGGUAGCCUAGGCUCCACCGAAAUAGUGUUACCUGUCACCCUUACCACCACAGACCUUGGUGAGGAAUCAACAGCCUUCCACAGUAGCUCAGACGCAACUGUAACAACACCCUUACCUCCCCACUCCACAACCUCAGCCCUCGUUGGCGAAUCUGCAACGUUCUAUAUGAGCCCAUCCACUAGUUACACAACCCUCUUUCCUGCCAGUUCCAGCACAUCAGGCCUCACUGGGGAAUCUACCACCUUCCACACCAGUCCAAGCUUCCCUUUUACAUUUGCGUCUACUGAAAGCCUGCAAACCUUAGUGCCAGGGUCAUGCCAGGAAGGACAAAUCUGGAAUGGAAAACAAUGCGUCUGUCCCCAAGGCUACGUUGGUUACCAGUGCUUGUCCCCUGUGGAAUCCUUCCUUGUAGAAACCCCGGAAAAACUCAAUGCCACUUUAGGUAUGACAGUGAAAGUGACUUACAGAGAUUUCACAGAACAGAUGAAUGACUCAUCCUCCCAGGAAUACCAGAACUUCAAUAGCCUCUUCAAGAAUCGGAUGGAUGUCGUUUUGACAGGCGACGAUCUUCCGCAGUAUAGAGGGGUAAACAUUCGGAGAUUGCUCAACGGUAGCAUCGUGGUCAAGAAUGAUGUCAUCCUGGAGGCAGACUACACUUCAGAGUAUGAAGAACUGUUUGAAACCCUGGUAGAGAUUGUAAAGGCCAAGAUUAUGAAUGAAACCAAAACAGUUCAUGAUCGUGAUCAUGAUUUCUGCAGAGACUCCUGCCACAGGAACCCAGAAGCCAGGCCCAGGAUGCCUUCCCCAGAUCCCAAAGCUGCUCCCAACAGCCUCCUGUCGACCCCAGGCUGAGGCUGUCAUAUCCCCAUUUGAGCCUCCUCAUAAGCCCAGCUGCGUGUCUAG